AGAACGAACGCUGGCGGCAUGCCUAAUACAUGCAAGUCGAACGAACUCUUCGGAGUUAGUGGCGCACGGGUGCGUAACGCGUGGGAAUCUGCCCCUUGGUUCGGAAUAACAGUUGGAAACGACUGCUAAUACCGGAUGAUGACGAAAGUCCAAAGAUUUAUCGCCAAGGGAUGAGCCCGCGUAGGAUUAGCUAGUUGGUGAGGUAAAGGCUCACCAAGGCAACGAUCCUUAGCUGGUCUGAGAGGAUGAUCAGCCACACGUGGACUGAGACACGGCCAGACUCCUACGGGAGCAGUCGAGUAGGAAUAUGGACAAGUGGGACAAAGCCUGAUCC
This 334-nucleotide ribosomal RNA is filed under the name uncultured soil bacterium. Its description in RNAcentral is "bacterial SSU rRNA". It matches the Rfam family "Bacterial small subunit ribosomal RNA", at positions 26 to 389 of the family's 1533-position model. The record is from RNAcentral.